CAAGUCGAACGAAGUAGCAAUACUUAGUGGCAGACGGGUGAGUAACAUGUAGGUAUCUUCCCUUUGGUGAGGAAUAACACGAGGAAACUUGUGCUAAUACCUCAUAAGUCUUUACGGAGAAAGCUUUAUGCGCCAAAGGAUGAGCCUGCAUUUGAUUAGUUUGUUGGCGGGGUAAUGGCCUACCAAGACUUUGAUCAAUAGCUGAUCUGAGAGGAUGAUCAGCCACAUUGGGACUGAGACACGGCCCAAACUCCUACGGGAGGCAGCAGUAGGGAAUAUUGCACAAUGGAGGAAACUCUGAUGCAGCGAUGCCGCGUGAGUGAAGAAGGCCUUUGGGUUGUAAAGCUCUUUCGUCGGGGAAGAAAAUGACUGUACCCGAAUAAGAAGGUCCGGCUAACUUCGUGCCAGCAGCCGCGGUAAUACGAAGGGACCUAGCGUAGUUCGGAUUUACUGGGCUUAAAGAGUUCGUAGGUGGUUAAAAAAGUUGGUGGUGAAAUCCCAGAGCUUAACUCUGGAACUGCCAUCAAAACUUUUUAGCUAGAGUAUGAUAGAGGAAAGCAGAAUUUCUAGUGUAGAGGUGAAAUUCGUAGAUAUUAGAAAGAAUACCAAUUGCGAAGGCAGCUUUCUGGAUCAUUACUGACACUGAGGAACGAAAGCAUGGGUAGCGAAGAGGAUUAGAUACCCUCGUAGUCCAUGCCGUAAACGAUGUGUGUUAGACGUUGGAAAUUUAUUUUCAGUGUCGCAGUGAAAGCAUUAAACACACCGCCUGGGGAGUACGACCGCAAGGUUAAAACUCAAAUGAAUUGACGGGGACCCGCACAAGUAGUGGAGCAUGUGGUUUAAUUCGAAGAU
RNAcentral lists this ribosomal RNA (852 nucleotides) under uncultured marine bacterium. RNAcentral describes it as "bacterial SSU rRNA". It matches the Rfam family "Bacterial small subunit ribosomal RNA", at positions 58 to 958 of the family's 1533-position model. The record is from RNAcentral.